This 253-nucleotide ribosomal RNA is filed under the name uncultured bacterium. RNAcentral describes it as "partial 16S ribosomal RNA". It matches the Rfam family "Bacterial small subunit ribosomal RNA", at positions 524 to 776 of the family's 1533-position model. The record is from RNAcentral.
UACAUAGGUCUCAAGCGUUGUUCGGAUUCAUUGGGCGUAAAGGGUGCGUAGGUGGCAUGGUCAGUCGGAUGUGAAAUCCCGGGGCUCAACCCCGGAACUGCAUUCGAUACUGCCAGGCUAGAGUACUGGAGAGGAGAUUGGAAUUUACGGUGUAGCAGUGAAAUGCGUAGAUAUCGUAAGGAAGACCAGUGGCGAAGGCGGAUCUCUGGACAGUUACUGACACUGAGGCACGAAGGCCAGGGGAGCAAACGGG